UACGUAGGUGACAAGCGUUGUCCGGAUUUACUGGGCGUAAAGAGCGCGCAGGCGGUCGUUCAAGUCGAGUGUGAAAGCCCCCGGCUCAACUGGGGAGGGUCAUUCGAUACUGAUCGACUCGAAGGCAGGAGAGGGUAGUGGAAUUCCCGGUGUAGUGGUGAAAUGCGCAGAUAUCGGGAGGAACACCUAUGGCGAAGGCAGCUCGCUGGGACGUUACUGACGCUGAGACGCGAAAGCGUGGGGAGCAAACAGG
RNAcentral lists this ribosomal RNA (253 nucleotides) under uncultured bacterium. RNAcentral's name for it is "partial 16S ribosomal RNA". It matches the Rfam family "Bacterial small subunit ribosomal RNA", at positions 524 to 776 of the family's 1533-position model. The record is from RNAcentral.